GGUUUCAACCGCGUCGUCGCGACGGUCGAUUCCGGCGCAGAUAACUCCGGCGGGAUUUGCGUCGCUACUUCUAGGGAUUUCUCUAGCUCUGAUGCUCUGUGGAUCGGUUACCUUCUUCAUCGGCUUCAUGAUGAUGCCUUGGGUUAUUGGAUUGGUUAUGUUUUUCUAUGUCGCCGCGGUGGUUUCCUGCCUCUCCAUGAUCGGACGUUCGAUCAUCUGCUACGCUACGGCUCCGCCUAGAAAGGAUAUUCCAG
This 254-nucleotide unclassified non-coding RNA is filed under the name Hevea brasiliensis (rubber tree). The record is from RNAcentral. Lineage: Eukaryota; Viridiplantae; Streptophyta; Magnoliopsida; Malpighiales; Euphorbiaceae.